Molecule: ribosomal RNA, 484 nt
Filed under: uncultured bacterium
Lineage: Bacteria
Description: partial 16S ribosomal RNA
Rfam family: Bacterial small subunit ribosomal RNA
Source: RNAcentral
AUUGAACGCUGGCGGCAGGCCUAACACAUGCAAGUCGAGCGGAUGAAGGGAGCUUGCUCCUGGAUUCAGCGGCGGACGGGUGAGUAAUGCCUAGGAAUCUGCCUGGUAGUGGGGGAUAACGUCCGGAGACGGGCGCUAAUACCGCAUACGUCCUGAGGGAGAAAGUGGGGGAUCUUCGGACCUCACGCUAUCAGAUGAGCCUAGGUCGGCUUAGCUAGUUGGUGGGGUAAAGGCCCACCAAGGCGACGAUCCGUAACUGGUCUGAGAGGAUGAUCAGUCACACUGGAACUGAGACACGGUCCAGACUCCUACGGGAGGCAGCAGUGGGGAAUAUUGGACAAUGGGCGAAAGCCUGAUCCAGCCAUGCCGCGUGUGUGAAGAAGGUCUUCGGAUUGUAAAGCACUUUAAGUUGGGAGGAAGGGCAGUAAGUUAAUACCUUGCUGUUUUGACGUUACCAACAGAAUAAGCACCGGCUAACUUCGUG